RNAcentral lists this long non-coding RNA (643 nucleotides) under Nicotiana benthamiana. RNAcentral describes it as "long non-coding RNA (NBEN_LNC034447)". The record is from RNAcentral. Lineage: Eukaryota; Viridiplantae; Streptophyta; Magnoliopsida; Solanales; Solanaceae.
AGUGAUAAAAUAGAGAAAAUAUUUAAAUAUUUCCUAAUUUUUUCGCUGUCAAUAAACGUAAACGGGUUAGGGCAAUUGACUGUACUAUAACGGCUUCAAUACCCGUUUCCAACAGUACACUUCAUUCAGUAAAUUUCCCUCCAAUCGGACCUUCGCUAGUCGUUCAGUCUCCGGCGAAAAUGGAAGCCAAUGUUCCCCAGUUUAAGGUAAUGCUUUCUUUUACGGAAAAUUACUCUUAUUUUACUUAUGGUGAACUCAUUUAUAUACUUUCUCAGUUCAAUUAUUUAAAUCCUUUUGCAUAUUUGCUAAUUUUGUUUUCUGGAUAUAAUGUUCAAUUUAACUCUUUAUUUUCAGCUAAUUUUGGGUUCAUCCUCUACUGCACGUAGAAAAAUUUUGUCCGGCAUGGGAUACCAGUUCACAACCAUGGUAAAUUUCCAAUUAUUAGUUAUUCUUUGUUUUGUUCUAUGGAUAAAUAUGUUCCUAUAUCUGUGGAGAUGUAUUUACAAUUCAAAAAGAUUUGAACUUGGAUCAGUUCCUGUACCAAAUCAUUUUAAUUCACCGUGGUUAAGUAAAAUUGAGGAAAAUAUACUUAGAGGAAAUGAUCUCCUAUGCGCACAUACAAUUUGAAUAGAAGAAAAUGUCC